Molecule: ribosomal RNA, 1072 nt
Filed under: human gut metagenome
Description: bacterial LSU rRNA
Rfam family: Bacterial large subunit ribosomal RNA
Source: RNAcentral
CGAGCUGACGCCUGCCCGGUGCUGGACGGUUAAAAGGAGAUGUGCAAGCAUUGAAUUGAAGCCCCAGUGUACGGCGGCCGUAACUAUAACGGUCCUAAGGUAGCGAAAUUCCUUGUCAGGUAAGUUCUGACCCGCAUGAAAGGCGUAAUGAUCUGGGCACUGUCUCAACAGCCCGCCCGGCGAAAUUGUAGUACCGGUGAAGAUGCCGGUUACCCGCGACAAGACGGAAAGACCCCAUGGAGCUUUACUGUAGCCUGAUAUUGGGUUUCGGUGUUGCAUGCACAGGAUAGAUGGGACACUGGGAAGCGAGCGCUUUGGCGUUCGUGGAGUGGACGUUGGGAUACCAUCCUUGCGACAUUGGAAUUCUAACCUGCGCCUCUGAAUCGAGGCGGGGGACAUUGUCAGGUGGGCAGUUUGACUGGGGCGGUCGCCUCCUAAAAAGUAGCGGAGGCGUUCAAAGGUUCGUUCGAUCUGGACGGAAACCAGAUGAAUGAGUGCAAACGCAUAAACGAGCCUGACUGCGAGACUGACGGGUCGAGCAGAGACGAAAGUCGGAGUUAGUGAUCCGGUGGUAUGUGAGUGGAAAUGCCAUCGCUCAACGGAUAAAAGUUACCCUGGGGAUAACAGGCUGAUCUCCCCCAAGAGUCCACAUCGACGGGGAGGUUUGGCACCUCGAUGUCGGCUCAUCGCAUCCUGGGGCUGAAUUCGGUCCCAAGGGUUUGGCUGUUCGCCAAUUAAAGCGGUACGCGAGCUGGGUUCAGAACGUCGUGAGACAGUUCGGUCCCUAUCUGUCGUGGGCGCAGGAUAUUUGAAAGGCGCUGUCCCUAGUACGAGAGGACCGGGAUGGACGAACCUCUGGUGCACCAGUUGUCACGCCAGUGGCACAGCUGGGCAGCUAUGUUCGGAUCGGAUAAACGCUGAAAGCAUCUAAGCGUGAAGCCGGCCUUAAGAUAAGAUAUCCCACUGAGUCAAUCAGGUAAGACCCCUUGAAGACUACAAGGUUGAUAGGCACACAGUGUAAGUGAAGUGAUUCAUUCAGCUAGCGUGUACUAAUAGGUCGAGGGUUUGACCC